CUACGGGUCGCUGCAGUCAAGAAUCUUCCUCAAUGCGCGAAAGCGUGAAGGAGCGACGCCGCGUGUGCGAAGAAGCCCUUCGGGGUGUAAAGCACUUUUGUAAGGGACGAACAAAUGACGGUACCUUGCGAAUAAGGGGCUGCUAAUCACGUGCCAGCAGCAGCGGUAAUACGUGAGCCCCAAGCGUUACCCGGAAUUAUUGGGCGUAAAGGGUGCGUAGGCGGUUUGUUAAGUUGUCUGUUAAAUUCCAGCGCCUAACGCUGGAACCGCGGAUGAUACUGGCAAACUAGAGAAUGGGAGAGGCAAGCGGAACUGCUGGUGUAGGGGUAAAAUCCAUUAAUAUCAGCAGGAACACCAAAAGCGAAGGCAGCUUGCUGGAACAUUUCUGACGCUGAGGCACGAAAGCGUGGGGAGCGAAAGGGAUUAGAUACCCGUGUAGUC
This 441-nucleotide ribosomal RNA is filed under the name uncultured bacterium. RNAcentral describes it as "partial 16S ribosomal RNA". It matches the Rfam family "Bacterial small subunit ribosomal RNA", at positions 339 to 795 of the family's 1533-position model. The record is from RNAcentral.